Homo sapiens (human) is the source of this 3944-nucleotide long non-coding RNA. Ensembl annotates it as PRKAR2A antisense RNA 1. Its record names the gene PRKAR2A-AS1. The record is from Ensembl. Lineage: Eukaryota; Metazoa; Chordata; Mammalia; Primates; Hominidae.
CUCGGGCUGUCGGGGGGUCGAGACAGUGGAGUGUUCCUGAUGCCAGCUCACGGAGGGAAUCCAGGGAAUUAGCUGAUGCCAAGAGCCUCUUUUUGGCCAGCACUUACUAAGCACCAGAGACACAGCGAGAAGCAGAAGCAUACGAGCACAUCAGUGUGAUUCUGCUGUGAUGAAGGGCAAGAGAGGGCUCACUUUCCGGCGUGACAUUCAAGCUAGCCCCGAGGCCUGAGCAGGACCCGCCCAGGGGAAGAUCUGGAGGAAAGCCAUCUGAACAUACAACAAGAGCAAAGGCCUGGUGGAGUCAAGACCACCUUGGCUGCCAGGUGGAAUGGUGGAAUAACUCAGGAGUCUGUCAGGUCUCUGAGAUGUCAAACGGGUAAGGCCUUGUAGGAAGUAGGCGUUUGAAUGAGAUCAUAAUUUGAGAGCCACAGACAGAAAAAUAAAUUUGAAAGAGUUCACUCAGCCAAAUGUGUACAGUGAGAAAGGGAAAUAAGGCCAAAAGCAGCAAAGACCUCUGUGCCUGUUCCUCCUGGAGCACUUUCACCAGGGUCCCCAGAUCUAGGUCUGCCCAUUCCUCUCCCCACAUUCUACACUGGGCCCUAGGUCAACACUGCUUGAUGAAGUUGAGCAGACCACAGGCAUUGUUAUCCUUUGCCCCUGGGAAGAUGGUAUAGGUGAACUGUAGAGGCCAGACUAUUUCCCAAAUUGCCCUCCUCCUCCUACCAAACUGGAAGGGUAUUGAAAAAGGUGGAGACCUUCCUGGGAUGUCCAGUCUACAGCCUACGUGCUAACCAAAGGCCCACUGGGCAUAGAGCAGAGUCCCCCUCUCCUUACAGGCCUAGCCAGGAAGAGAGUAGCUGUAGGUUUGGGAACCUGAGGGCAUUUGGGAUGCUUAAACACCGCCUGGUAAUUACUCAGUAUUAAUUAAAAUCCUCCCUAUCACCUCCCAUACAGGCUUGGCACACACCCAGGAGCUCAAUGCUGCUGGGAGCUGAGCAGCUGGGAGCAAGGAGCCCUCAUCCCCACUGAUGAAGAGGCCAGCCCAGGUUCUAGGCUAAGCAGGCCUGUGAUUAUAAACAGCAGUGUCUCCCUGGACAAGUUUCUUGACCCUGAGAAGAAUGUUAGACCAUCAACUUUGUGAGGGGACAGGCAGUCUCCAACUUUUUUCCUGCUCAGUCCUUAUUGCAUACUCUUGGAGAAGGUCUACUGACUUGUUCUCAGAUGCCCCACGGCUCAGCCAACCACCCAUCCAGCAGAGCAUUCAAAAGGCAUCUGGAAGGAAUGAGGGCGACCGUUCUGCCAGGCCCCUAUUUUUUUUUGAGAGGAGUCUCACUCUGUCGCCCAGGCUGGAGUGCAAUGGCAUGACCUCUGCUCACUGCAAGCUCUGCCUCCCAGGUUCAAGCGAUUCUCCUGUCUCAGCCUCCCAAGUAGCUGGUACUACAGGCGUGCACCACCACACCCAGCAAAUUUUUUCUAUUUUUAGUAGAGAUGGGGUUUCUCCAUGUUGGCCAGGAUGGUCUCAAUCUCUUGACCUCGUGAUCCACCCGCCUCAGCCUCCCAAAGUGCUGGGAUUACAGGCGUGAGCCACCGCACCUGGCUUUUUUUUUUUCUUUUAGAUGGAGUCUUCCUUUUGUCGCCCAAGGUGGAGUGCAAUGGCACGAUCUCAGCUCACUGCAACCUCCACCUCCCAGGUUCAAGCAAUUCUCCUGCAUCAGCCUCCUGUGUAGCUGGGAUUAUAGGCACCUGCCACCAUGCCCAGUUAAUUUUUGUAUUUUCAGUAGAGACGGGGUUUUGCCAUGUUGGCCAGGAUGGUCUCGAACUCCUGACCUAGGGAUCUGCCCGCCUUAGCCUCCCAAAGUUCUGGGAUUACAGGCGUGAGGCACUGCACCUGGCCAUUUUGUUUGUUUGGGUUUGUUUUUGAGAUGGAGUCUUGCUCUGUUGCCCAGGCUGGAGUGCAGUGGCAUGAUCUCGGCCCAUUGCAAGCUCCACCUCCCGGGUUCAUGCCAUUCUCCUGCCUCAGCCUCCAGAGUAGCUGGGACUACAGGCGUGCGCCACCAUGCCCAGCUAAUUUUUUGUAUUUUUUAGUAGAGACGGGGUUUCACCAUGUUAGCCAGGAUGGUCUGGAUUUCCUGACCUCAUGAUCCGCCUGCCUUGGCCUCCCAAAGUGCUGGGAUUACAGGCGUGAGCCACCACGCCUGGCCUGUUUGUUUUUUUGAGACACAGUCUUACUCUGUUGCCCAGGCUGGAGUGCAGUGACGCGAUCUCGGCUCACUGCAACCUCCACCUCCCAGGUUCAAGCGAUUCUCGUGUCUCAGCCUCCCAAGUAGCUGGGAUUAUAGGUGCGCACCACCACGCCCGGCUUAUUUUUUGUAUUUUUAGUGCAGAUGGGGUUUCACCAUAUUGGCCAGGCUGGUCUUGAACUCCUGACCUCAGGUGAUCCGCCUGCCUCAGCUUCCCAAAAUGCUGGGAUUACCAGCAUGAGUCACCACGCCCGGCCAAGAAAGACCCAUAUUUUGUUUUGUUUUCUUUUUUGAGAUGGAGUCUUGCUCUGUCGCUCAGGCUGGAGUGCAGUGGCGCAAUCUCUGCUCACUGCAACCUCCACCUCCUGGGUUCAAGCCAUUCUCCUGCCUCAGCCUCCCGAGUAGCUGGGACUACAGGCGCACACCACCACGCCUGGCUAAUUUUUGUAUUUUUAGUACAGACAGGGCCAGACUGGUCACGAACUCCUGACCUCAGGCGAUCCACCCGCCUCAGCCUUCCAAAGUGCUGGAAUUAUAGGUGUGAGCCAUCGCACCUGGCCACCAGACCCCCAUUAACUUCAGUAGGGAUGGCACCAGGUUUGAGAGGCCAAAAGAGAUCCAGAGCCAGCAAACAAGACUUAGGUUUGAUUGAGGGGAAUUUGCAUACAGAGCAGUCCAGUGGAGGUGGGCUAGAUAGGAGAACUGCCCCACCUGCAGAAAGUAUGCAGUAUAUAUAGCAUUUUCACUUAACACCCUCCCCCUAACAACUUUGAUUUAACCCAAAACAAAGGGGCUAAAUCCCCUGUACAUCCACAGGACAGAAUGGGGGCUCAGAUAUUCCUCAUGGGUAAGUAAUGAAUCUCUGGCUUGUCCUCACUUGGAACUCCUAACACAUUCAGGUGCAUCUGCCAUACAGGGUCAUUCUCAGAGUAUGCUUAAGUUAUUGCUGUCAGGUGCAGCUACCAUACACAGGUGUGUCUGCCAUAUAGCCACAGAAAGCAGGAGUCCUACAGCUGCUCCUCAUGGGUCUCCAUAGACUAGUCUUAGAGCAAGGAUGGGCAGCCAGCCUCCAGGUUUAACCUGGCACUCUCCCCCAGCACUUGGUCCCCAGAGCAGGGGUGCAUCUCUCCCACUUCUGGUCAACCCUUCAGUAACAAGUAGAGCCCCCAGGGUCUUCAUGAAUAUCUAGUUGAACUGGCUAAAGAAGAGGGCCCUGUAACAGGACAGAACACCAGGAGCCUGAACCCCGCAUCUUCUACCCUUAUCCUGCAUUUAUCCUGCCUGCAUUCAAGCCUGUCCAGCUGCACCACUGGAGGUUACCAUGGCAACUAAACCCAGAGGCAGCCGGUAACUGAGAUACAGCUGCCAAGAGCAACUGAUGGUGGAAAAGGCCAACAGCAGAGACUCUUAGAAGGAAGAGAAGUACACAGGAGGAGGCCCCAGAACCCUGAGGGUGCUACACUCAAAUCUAAUCCUACUCACAACUCAGCAGGCAGUCAACGUCUUGCACAAACUGCCAUAUCACCAACCAGAGGCACAGAUAUGGACACAAUGGGGCCAAUUUGCAGAGAUGUUUGCAACUAUGGAUGCAGAGUAGCACAGGUGGGACACAUGUUGUUUAGCCCAAAAGCAACGGGUCUUGGUGAAAACGAAAAUGGGUAGGGUACCAUUGCUGUUUCCAAUGAAACAAUGAAUUUUGUGUGC